Daucus carota subsp. sativus is the source of this 1007-nucleotide long non-coding RNA. RefSeq lists it as uncharacterized. The transcript has 3 exons. The record is from RefSeq and is a predicted model, not a curated record. Lineage: Eukaryota; Viridiplantae; Streptophyta; Magnoliopsida; Apiales; Apiaceae.
ACGGGAGCCGAUGUUCAAUUUGUUCUUAUAUAUCCAGUCAUCCAGCCCCGGCUAUAAGGGUGUGCAAACAUCCCAAUAGAACAGGGCCCCAAAUUUCUAGGGCCCCCAAAUAUAUCUGGCCCAUUAUACAUAUAUACACAUUAUAUCACCUAAAAAAACAAGCCUCGUCAAAACUCUGUCUUCGAAACUCACGCUGUCAUUACGGAGACUACAUCGGCAGGGUGUAUCUAUAUAUCAAAUUCUACACUUUUAUUGCUUGAAUCAAUCUUCCGGCUUCAAUUACCCAUGGCUAUUAACUUCAAUUUCAACGCUUAUUCAGAAAGAUUAGAUAGCAUACUUGAUUUUACUGAGUUGAGCCUCAAAGUGGUGGUCUGGAGAGUCUGGUGGAAUUUAGGCCUUGGUUUUUAUCAGUGGACUCGUGAACUAAGUAUCCAGAGCCAGACUCAUGAACUUCUCUCGGGCUUUUUCUCUCGGGUUUUUCUAUUCCAUUUGAUUUUUAAUAAUAUUUUAUUUGCCUGGUUUUUGCUUGUUUUUUACUUGUUUGUGUGGAUAUUUUUAAUUAUGCCUCCUAAAAUUAGAAAAUAUGAUUCUGGGCACGAAAAGCGCAUGAAAAAGAAAAGAGCCGAAGCAUUAGUUGAAUCUCAAAGACGAUCUCUUAAUAAAUUGAAGUUGUUGAAGUCUUAUUUGCGAUCCACAAUGCUUCAAGAUCGACUCAACGGAUUGGCGCUAAUUGCAAUUGAGAACGACAUUUUGGAGACUGUAGAAUACGAAGACUUGAUUGAUGAUUUUGCUUCAAAGAGUGUUCGAAGAAUGACACUCUUUAAAUAAAAAGUUAGCAUUAAGUUGGUUUUGUACAAAAACUUUAUUAUGGGGCCACAUUUUUUUAUAUAGCACAGGGCUCCUGAAAUGUUUAAGACGGCCCUGCAGUCAUCUGCAGAACUGGUGAAUGAAAUAGCCAAUGUUGAGGGUGCACAGAUAUACUUGGAAUGGUAUCUUAUUUCACUCCA